UAAAGUGGUACGCGAGCUGGGUUUAGAACGUCGUGAGACAGUUCGGUCCCUAUCUGCCGUGGGCGCUGGAAGAUUGAGAGGAUUUGCUCCUAGUACGAGAGGACCGGAGUGAACGCACCGCUGGUGUUCGGGUUGUCAUGCCAAUGGCAUUGCCCGGUAGCUACGUGCGGAACAGAUAACCGCUGAAAGCAUCUAAGCGGGAAACUGACCUCGAGAUGAGUCUUCCCCUGGGCUUAGAGUCCGCUAAAGGAACGUUAAAGACGAUGACGUAGAUAGGUCAGGUGUGUAAGCGUAGUGAUACGUUGAGCUAACUGAUACUAAUGAACCGUGAGACUUAACCUU
Molecule: ribosomal RNA, 342 nt
Filed under: Enterobacteriaceae bacterium
Lineage: Bacteria; Pseudomonadati; Pseudomonadota; Gammaproteobacteria; Enterobacterales; Enterobacteriaceae
Description: partial 23S ribosomal RNA
Rfam family: Bacterial large subunit ribosomal RNA
Source: RNAcentral